GGACAAGGAGAACAGGUUCCCAACCCAGACAGGAGAAACAGAAAAGCUACCUGGAGAGGCCAUUGACAAUGCAGAAGAACCCAGAUUUCAAGAGAAACAGAGCUAGAUUCAGACAACACCUCCACCACCACUUACUGUCUGCAUCAGUCAGGGCAUGAGAACUGACACUCACAGCAUUCACACAGCAUGCCAAGUGGCAAAUCUGGAACACAAACAUCGCUCUUUAUGACUCCAGAGUUAUCAUCCUGCUGCUGUGAGUAUGAAAUGGCAUAAGACAUGUACAGGGUAGGGCUCAUAGUAGCUACGGAAAAGAACCAACACUAAGAACCUGUCUACUGUGUGCCAUACCCUAGAUGUGUUUUCCUUUCCAAGGCUGUCAUUUUGCUUGUGCAUGCAAGGCUUUUGUGGAUGUGACAGUUCUAGUAGAGGAUCACAGGGACAUGUGCACCUCUGACUAAGAUUGUCCUCCUCCACCAUGAACACAACUUUCAGAGGAUGUAAGUAGAAUGGUAAGUGAGGAAGGAGGCAACCACUCAUUAGAGAAAUAUUUUCCAUAUCAGUCCUUGAAAUGGGGCCAGGCACAGUGGCUCACAACUGUAAUCCCAGCAUUUAGGAGGCCGAGGAAGGAGGAUUGCUUGAGGCCAGGAGUUUGAGAUCAGCCUGGCAACAUAGGGAGACUCUGUCUCUAUUAAAAAAAACCUUAAAACAAUUAGCUGGGCAUGAUGGUGCAUGCCUGUGGUCCUAGCUACUCAGGAGGCUGAUGCAGGAGGAUCACUUGAGCCUAGGUGUUCAAGGCUGCAGUGAGCUAUGAUGGCACUACUAAACUCCAGUCUGAGUGACAGAGUGAGACCCUCUCUAAAAAAACAAACAAACAAAAAAACUUUGAAAUGAAUGGAGCAAAAGAUAUCUCAGACAGACCCCAUACUCUUCCUAAAGGGAUUUAGGUAUGCCCCAUUUCAGCAUGAACGUACGUCUAGAAAAUACAAAAGGAGGAAGAAUGUUCUGUCCAGUGUUUUAUUUGUGCAAAUGACGGGAUUUCUAAAGCUUUUCAACAACACAACAGUUGGCUGUAUUCAAAAUCAGCCGAUAGUAAGCAGGUACCUUGUCCUCUAAAGGUUUCUAGAAGGCUACAUGGUCUGUAUUUGGUCAUCCUGAUUUAAUUCCCUAUUUUUCUGAUAGAGAAGGAAUGUCGCUCUCUGUAGAAAUAUGUGUCCUAAAAGUCCCUUGGCUACUCUGAUUGAAAAAAGAAACAUGUUUGCAGGACUAAGCUAAGAUGUUGAGAUAAGAAUGAACACAGUGGUCACAACAGAUAAACAGGAGGAGGAAAGGAGCUGAUGAAAAUGGGAAUGCUUUCUUUUUUUUUUCUGUCUUUACAGUUGCCUUGCAGAGGCGCUAAACCCCAUAACUAUGUUUAUAUUCUGAUGAUGUAAGACAUUGCUUCCAAAGAGAUAGCAGUUUCCAUAGAGCUGAAUCUAUGGGAGCACAUAUUAAUCUCUUUUUUAUUUUAGGAGGAAGAGAAUCACAUCACAGAAAAGUCGUGAAAUGAUUGAAAUGUUCUUUUCUGUUCCCCCAAAGCAUCAUUAAAUGUAUGUUUCAAUCUCCUAAUAUAAUCUGAUUAACAUAUAUGCUUGACAUGAUUCAUUAGAAUAAUGACAAUGGGAAUUUCCAAGGAACACUUAUUCUGUGCCAGGGACAGUGCUAGCCACUCGACAUGAAUUAUUUCACUUAAUCUUCUCAGUAAUUUAGUUGAGAAAAUUGAGACUCUGAUUUUAAGUGAUUUUUCUAAGGCCGUGUACAUAAUGCAUAGGUUUGAAUUCCAUGUGUCUUUGACUGCAGAAUCCAUGCUAGGCCACACCUCCUAGCUCUAAAACAGCAAUAAUAUAUCAUAAGAAAGGGACCAGGAGAUGAAAGGGGGCAGGAAUUGGCAUCUGCCCAGUACUUGGUCUAUAUCAGGUACAUUACAUGUUUUCGCAUGCCCAACUUUACAUAAUUAAUAAGUAGGUGAGCUAAGAUUUAACACCAAAUGGAUCUGCUUUCAUAGUUCACUCAUGUUCCCUCAAGUGGACUUUCUGCCUGAUUACUUUAGGUGAGUUUAAAAAAAUUAAAAUAGGUAUUAAAGUUAAAUUUAGGGACCACCUAAUCCUGAAGCUAACCAAAAACAGUAUUGGGAAUUAAACUUAAGACACUGAUAUCCUGAUUAUCUAUUGCUGCAUAACAAGUUACCCCAAAGUGUGGUGGCUUUAAUAUAAUAAUUUAUUAUUGUUAUUAUAAUCAUAAUUCUGUGGAUGAAAAACUCAGGUGGAACACAGUGCAACAGCAUGCUUCUUUUCUUCUCUUUCGCUGUUAUUUAUUUAUUUAAGUUUUAACUGACACGUAGUAACUAUACAUAUUUAUGUGGUAAAGUGUGAUGUUUCAAUAAAGGCAUGCAUUGUGCAAUGAUCAAAUCGGGGUAUUUAACAUAGUCAUCACCACAUACAUUUAUCUUUUCUUUGUGAUGAGAACAUUUCAAAAUCCUCUCUUCUAACUAUUUUGAAAUAUACAAGACAAUAUUAUCAACCAUAGUCUCCCUACUGUGCAAUACAACACCAGAACUUAUUCCUUCUGUCUAACUGUAACUUUGUACCCACUGACCAACAUCUCUGCAUGCCUCAGGAUGUCUUGCUUCUGCUCAGCAAUGUCUGGAGUCUCAGAUGGGAAGACUUGAAUGGUUGGGGGCUGAAACAGCUGAAGGCUGGAUGGGUAUCUCUCUCUUACUCUGCCUUUAUCUCUCUCUCUCUCUCACUGUCUCUCUCUCUCCAAAAUAGCAAGCUUAGGCUUCCUCACAAUAUGGCAAUCUCAGGUUAGUUGGACAUCUUAAACCGCAGCAGAGCUUCAGAGUGUUCCAAGUAUUUCAAGAAAAGGAAGUGACAUCUACCAGUCUCUUAAGGCCUGGACCAAGAAACGGAU
This 2946-nucleotide long non-coding RNA is filed under the name Homo sapiens (human). RNAcentral describes it as "HSALNT0160545". Lineage: Eukaryota; Metazoa; Chordata; Mammalia; Primates; Hominidae. The record is from RNAcentral.